This 905-nucleotide ribosomal RNA is filed under the name uncultured bacterium. RNAcentral describes it as "bacterial SSU rRNA". It matches the Rfam family "Bacterial small subunit ribosomal RNA", at positions 65 to 979 of the family's 1533-position model. The record is from RNAcentral.
CGCUGAAGCCCCAGUUUGCUGGGGUGGAUGAGUGGCGAACGGGUGAGUAACACGUGAGUAACCUUCCCUUGACUCUGGGAUAAGCCCGGGAAACUGGGUCUAAUACCGGAUACGACCUCCUGCCGCAUGGUGUGGGGGUGGAAAGAUUUAUCGGUUUUGGAUGGACUCGCGGCCUAUCAGCUUGUUGGUGAGGUAAUGGCUCACCAAGGCUACGACGGGUAGCCGGCCUGAGAGGGUGACCGGCCACACUGGGACUGAGACACGGCCCAGACUCCUACGGGAGGCAGCAGUGGGGAAUAUUGCACAAUGGGCGCAAGCCUGAUGCAGCGACUCCGCGUGAGGGAUGACGGCCUUCGGGUUGUAAACCUCUUUCAGUAGGGAAGAAGCGAAAGUGACGGUACCUGCAGAAGAAGCGCCGGCUAACUACGUGCCAGCAGCCGCGGUAAUACGUAGGGCGCGAGCGUUAUCCGGAAUUAUUGGGCGUAAAGAGCUCGUAGGCGGUUUGUCGCGUCUGCCGUGAAAGUCCGGGGCUUAACCCCGGAUCUGCGGUGGGUACGGGCAGACUAGAGUGCAGUAGGGGAGACUGGAAUUCCUGGUGUAGCGGUGAAAUGCUCAGAUAUCAGGAGGAACACCGAUGGCGAAGGCAGGUCUCUGGGCUGUUACUGACGCUGAGGAGCGAAAGCAUGGGGAGCGAACAGGAUUAGAUACCCUGUGAGUCCAUGCCGUAAACGUUGGGCACUAGGUGUGGGGGACAUUCCACGUUCUUCCGCGCCGCAGCUAACGUAUUAAGUGCCCCGUCUGGGGAGUACGGCCGCAAGGCUACAACUCAAAGGAAUUGACGGGGGCCCACACAAGCGGCGGAGCAUGCGUAUUAAUUCGAUGCAACGCGAAGAACCUUACCAAGG